RNAcentral lists this ribosomal RNA (511 nucleotides) under uncultured bacterium. RNAcentral's name for it is "bacterial SSU rRNA". It matches the Rfam family "Bacterial small subunit ribosomal RNA", at positions 15 to 518 of the family's 1533-position model. The record is from RNAcentral.
GAUUCUGGCUCAGGAUGAACGCUAGCUACAGGCUUAACACAUGCAAGUCGAGGGGCAGCAUUGGGGUAGCAAUACUCAGAUGGCGACCGGCGCACGGGUGAGUAACACGUAUCCAACCUGCCGCUUACUCGGGGAUAGCCUUUCGAAAGAAAGAUUAAUACCCGAUGGUAUAAAGAGUUCGCAUGUUCUCUUAUUAAAGAAUUUCGGUAAGCGAUGGGGAUGCGUUCCAUUAGAUAGUUGGCGGGGUAACGGCCCACCAAGUCUACGAUGGAUAGGGGUUCUGAGAGGAAGGUCCCCCACAUUGGAACUGAGACACGGUCCAAACUCCUACGGGAGGCAGCAGUGAGGAAUAUUGGUCAAUGGACGAGAGUCUGAACCAGCCAAAAGUAGCGUGAAGGAUGACUGCCCUAUGGGUUGUAAACUUCUUUUAUAAGGGAAUAAAGUGAGGGACGUGUCCCUUUUUGUAUGUACCUUAUGAAUAAGGAUCGGCUAACUCCGUGCCAGCCGCCGC